This is a long non-coding RNA of Haliotis rufescens (red abalone), 187 nucleotides long. RefSeq lists it as uncharacterized. The record is from RefSeq and is a predicted model, not a curated record. The transcript has 3 exons. NCBI's taxonomy places the organism in Eukaryota, Metazoa, Mollusca, Gastropoda, Lepetellida, Haliotidae.
GCAUGGUCUCAUAUGUCCGGGACGAGGACAAAGAUGGGAGCUACCAGGAGAUAGAAGAAGAGGUGAACGUAGACGACAUCGCCCCUCUUGUAGCUGUCUACUCUGUCAUGCUCACGGCUGUGGCGGUUGUGGUGGCAGCAGUUGCUAUUCUUGUCUGCAAGGACGUAAAAGAUGGUCACAGCAGAAG